AGUCGAGGGGUAUUAGUUUUCGGACUAAGAGACCGGCGCACGGGUGCGUAACGCGUAUGCAAUCUACCUUUUACAGAGGGAUAGCCCAGAGAAAUUUGGAUUAAUACCUCAUAGUAUAAUGACUCGGCAUCGAGAUAUUAUUAAAGUCACAACGGUAAAAGAUGAGCAUGCGUCCCAUUAGCUAGUUGGUAAGGUAACGGCUUACCAAGGCUACGAUGGGUAGGGGUCCUGAGAGGGAGAUCCCCCACACUGGUACUGAGACACGGACCAGACUCCUACGGGAGGCAGCAGUGAGGAAUAUUGGACAAUGGGCGCAAGCCUGAUCCAGCCAUGCCGCGUGCAGGAUGACGGUCCUAUGGAUUGUAAACUGCUUUUAUACGAGAAGAAACACUGCUUCGUGAAGCAGCUUGACGGUAUCGUAAGAAUAAGGAUCGGCUAACUCCGUGCCAGCAGCCGCGGUAAUACGGAGGAUCCAAGCGUUAUCCGGAAUCAUUGGGUUUAAAGGGUCCGUAGGCGGUUUAAUAAGUCAGUGGUGAAAGCCCAUCGCUCAACGGUGGAACGGCCAUUGAUACUGUUAAACUUGAAUUAUUAGGAAGUAACUAGAAUAUGUAGUGUAGCGGUGAAAUGCUUAGAGAUUACAUGGAAUACCAAUUGCGAAGGCAGGUUACUACUAAUGGAUUGACGCUGAUGGACGAAAGCGUGGGUAGCGAACAGGAUUAGAUACCCUGGUAGUCCACGCCGUAAACGAUGGAUACUAGCUGUUGGAAGCAAUUUCAGUGGCUAAGCGAAAGUGAUAAGUAUCCCACCUGGGGAGUACGUUCGCAA
This 825-nucleotide ribosomal RNA is filed under the name uncultured Bacteroidota bacterium. Its description in RNAcentral is "bacterial SSU rRNA". It matches the Rfam family "Bacterial small subunit ribosomal RNA", at positions 60 to 891 of the family's 1533-position model. Lineage: Bacteria; Pseudomonadati; Bacteroidota. The record is from RNAcentral.